Neofelis nebulosa (Clouded leopard) is the source of this 356-nucleotide long non-coding RNA. RefSeq lists it as uncharacterized. The record is from RefSeq and is a predicted model, not a curated record. The transcript has 2 exons. NCBI's taxonomy places the organism in Eukaryota, Metazoa, Chordata, Mammalia, Carnivora, Felidae.
CUGGGUCUGUGCAUUGUGACAGUAUGCUGGCAAGUGCGGUCGGGCCAUGGGACCCUGGUCUGGUGUGUUCCUGGGACUGAAGAGUAGAGAACCUGCUGGGGAGAAAGAGUCAGAAAGCAGCUAUUGGCUCACUUGUCCUGCCCUGCCCAGCCCAGCCCAGCACCACCCCUGCCCUGGUCCCAGACCUUGUCCAGCCCCAGCACCUCUGCCUCUUUUCCCUUCCUAAAAGUCUGUGUUUCAAUAGAACCCAAAGAAGUCGGUCCCCACGUAGCAAAUGUUUGAGGAAGGGAUUUGAAGUUGGUGAUGCAAAUUAACACAACUAAAAUGCAGAUUAAAUGCUGGGCGCCCUCCUGUGA